RNAcentral lists this ribosomal RNA (232 nucleotides) under uncultured bacterium. RNAcentral's name for it is "partial small subunit ribosomal RNA". It matches the Rfam family "Bacterial small subunit ribosomal RNA", at positions 26 to 288 of the family's 1533-position model. The record is from RNAcentral.
AGAGCGAACGCUGGCGGCAGGCCUAACACAUGCAAGUCGAGCGCCCCGCAAGGGGAGCGGCAGACGGGAGAGUAACACGUGGGAACGUACCCUUCAGUUCGGAACAACCCAGGGAAACUUGGGCUAAUACCGAAUACGUCCGUAAGGAGAAAGAUUUAUCGCUGAAGGAUCGGCCCGCGUCUGAUUAGCUAGUUGGUGAGGUAACGGCUCACCAAGGCAACGAUCAGUAUCC